Molecule: ribosomal RNA, 733 nt
Filed under: Lactococcus lactis
Lineage: Bacteria; Bacillati; Bacillota; Bacilli; Lactobacillales; Streptococcaceae
Description: bacterial SSU rRNA
Rfam family: Bacterial small subunit ribosomal RNA
Source: RNAcentral
UUGAGCGGGGGACAACAUUUGGAAACGAAUGCUAAUACCGCAUAACAACUCUAAAACACAAGUUUUAAGUUUGAAAGAUGCAAUUGCAUCACUCAAAGAUGAUCCCGCGUUGUAUUAGCUAGUUGGUGAGGUAAAGGCUCACCAAGGCGAUGAUACAUAGCCGACCUGAGAGGGUGGUCGGCCACAUUGGGACUGAGACACGGCCCAAACUCCUACGGGAGGCAGCAGUAGGGAAUCUUCGGCAAUGGACGAAAGUCUGACCGAGCAACGCCGCGUGAGUGAAGAAGGUUUUCGGAUCGUAAAACUCUGUUGGUAGAGAAGAACGUUGGUGAGAGUGGAAAGCUCAUCAAGUGACGGUAACUACCCAGAAAGGGACGGCUAACUACGUGCCAGCAGCCGCGGUAAUACGUAGGUCCCGAGCGUUGUCCGGAUUUAUUGGGCGUAAAGCGAGCGCAGGUGGUUUAUUAAGUCUGGUGUAAAAGGCAGUGGCUCAACCAUUGUAUGCAUUGGAAACUGGUAGACUUGAGUGCAGGAGAGGAGAGUGGAAUUCCAUGUGUAGCGGUGAAAUGCGUAGAUAUAUGGAGGAACACCGGUGGCGAAAGCGGCUCUCUGGCCUGUAACUGACACUGAGGCUCGAAAGCGUGGGGAGCAAACAGGAUUAGAUACCCUGGUAGUCCACGCCGUAAACGAUGAGUGCUAGAUGUAGGGAGCUAUAAGUUCUCUGUAUCGCAGC